AAAGUGCCGCAGUGCCUAAACAUGCAGUCGACGAGAAUCCGCCUUCGGGUGGAGAGUAAAGUGGCGCACGGGUGAGUAACACGUGGAUAAUCUGCCUCUGAGUGAGGAAUAACUCGUCGAAAGGCGGGCUAAUACCUCAUAGCACUGUUUUCUCUGCGGAGGGGACAGCCAAAGGUGGCCUCUGAUGCAAGCUAUCGCUUAGAGAUGAGUCCGCGGCCCAUUAGCUAGUUGGCAGGGUAAAGGCCUACCAAGGCAACGAUGGGUAGCUGGUCUGAGAGGAUGAUCAGCCACACUGGAACUGAGAUACGGUCCAGACUCCUACGGGAGGCAGCAGUGAGGAAUAUUGCGCAAUGGGGGAAACCCUGACGCAGCAACGCCGUGUGAGUGAUGAAGGCUCUCGGGUCGUAAAGCUCUGUUUGGUGGAAAGAAAGGCUCCUGACGAAUACUCAGGCAGCUUGACGGUACCAUCAGAGGAAGCACCGGCUAACUCCGUGCCAGCAGCCGCGGUAAUACGGAGGGUGCAAGCGUUGUUCGGAAUUACUGGGCGUAAAGGGCGUGUAGGCGGCUGAUUAAGUCAGAUGUGAAAGCCCUGGGCUCAACCCAGGAAGUGCAUUUGAAACUGGUCAGCUAGAGUACGGGAGAGGAAGGUGGAAUUCCUGGUGUAGAGGUGAAAUUCAUAGAUAUCGGGAAGAACACCGGUGGCGAAGGCGGCCUUCUGGCCCGAUACUGACGCUGAGACGCGAAAGCGUGGGGAGCAAACAGGAUUAGAUACCCUGGUAGUCCACGCUGUAAACGUUGGGCACUAGGUGUGGGAGGUAUUUACUCCUUUCUGUGCCGCAGCUAACGCAUUAAGUGCCCCGCCUGGGGAGUACGGUCGCAUAGGCUA
Molecule: ribosomal RNA, 886 nt
Filed under: uncultured bacterium
Lineage: Bacteria
Description: bacterial SSU rRNA
Rfam family: Bacterial small subunit ribosomal RNA
Source: RNAcentral